AGCGCCCUGGAAGGAGACUACGGUCAACGGAAGGGGAGGCUUAGUCGCGGACGGGUGAGUAACGCGUGAGGAACCUGCCUCAGAGUGGGGGAUAACACACCGAAAGGUGUGCUAAUACCGCAUAACAUAUGGGAGGGGCAUCCCUUUCAUAUCAAAGAUUUAUUGCUCUGAGAUGGCCUCGCGUCCAAUUAGCUAGUUGGCGGGGUAACGGCCCACCAAGGCGACGAUUGGUAGCCGGACUGAGAGGUUGAACGGCCACAUUGGGACUGAGACACGGCCCAGACUCCUACGGGAGGCAGCAGUGGGGAAUAUUGCACAAUGGGGGAAACCCUGAUGCAGCAAUGCCGCGUGAAGGAUGAAGGUUUUCGGAUUGUAAACUUCUUUUGUACGGGACGAAGAAAGUGACGGUACCGUAAGAAUAAGCCACGGCUAACUACGUGCCAGCAGCCGCGGUAAUACGUAGGUGGCAAGCGUUAUCCGGAUUUACUGGGUGUAAAGGGCGAGUAGGCGGGAUUGCAAGUCAGAUGUGAAAACUAUGGGCUCAACCCAUAGACUGCAUUUGAAACUGCAGUCCUUGAGUGAUGGAGAGGCAGGCGGAAUUCCCGGUGUAGCGGUGGAAUGCGUAGAUAUCGGGAGGAACACCAGUGGCGAAGGCGGCCUGCUGGACAUUAACUGACGCUGAGGCGCGAAAGCGUGGGGAG
Molecule: ribosomal RNA, 701 nt
Filed under: uncultured bacterium
Lineage: Bacteria
Description: bacterial SSU rRNA
Rfam family: Bacterial small subunit ribosomal RNA
Source: RNAcentral